RNAcentral lists this long non-coding RNA (886 nucleotides) under Gallus gallus (chicken). The record is from RNAcentral. Lineage: Eukaryota; Metazoa; Chordata; Aves; Galliformes; Phasianidae.
GUAAGAUUCCCCAGAAAGUCAGGAACAGGCCAAAGCAGAAGAUCUCCUGCUGCAACACUGCACAGACGCAGCCUCUAGCACAGAGCGAAGUGUUUUGGAAAGUGCUCCUUGGACGAAGAGCCCCAAAAUUGCAUCCCAGCACCCACACUGCUGCCAGGAGCCCUGGUUGUUGAUGGCAGGACAAGGAGGAGCCUGGGGCAUUUCUGGCUCCAGGAGAGGAGCAAGCAAAGCAAGGUGCCCUCAUGCCUAGGGGCUUCUCUCCCUGCAGCGAAGGCACCUUUCAAACAGGGACCUGCAGGCUGUGCAGCUCAGCCCAGCUCUGGUUCCAGCAGCCUGGUGACACAUCCCCUGAGCAAAGGACACAACAUGGAAAUAGCAACGUGUCUCAACAAUUGGCACAAUUCUGGAAAGGUGACUUCACUUUGCCCUUCGGCCCAGGGACAAAGGACUGGCAGUGUGAUGAUGGGAGAUAUUUGAGUCCUACCUGGCAAGAGGGAAACUGGCAGAAGCACCACCUGGCUUUUUUGCAGCAAAGAAACAAGGUCAAGGACUCAGUUCAUUCCAUCUGUGGUAUUUUUACUCUGUAAUUUAUUUAACAGUAGGAAUAAGAGGCCCUAUCAGAAGCCAAGACCCUCAUAGUCAAGGAGAAAUGGGAGAGACCGAGACCUCAAAUCUGCUGUGCUCCAACUCCAGCUCCCCACAUCCCUCUCCUGGGAGAGCGUUGCCAUCAGUGAUGACGGACCUCCAGCCAUCCUUACUCUGCAGAGAGCCCUCAGCAGCCACCAGUAAAGUCCUAACAGCUCUGCCUCCAGCACGGCUGGACCUCACUGGGCACAGGAUAGAAGACAAGCACUGAUUCCUGCUCCAUCCAGGAGGUGUGAGAGCU